Molecule: long non-coding RNA, 2277 nt
Filed under: Manacus vitellinus (golden-collared manakin)
Lineage: Eukaryota; Metazoa; Chordata; Aves; Passeriformes; Pipridae
Description: lncRNA (ENSMVIG00005006028.1)
Source: RNAcentral
GGACACUGGGCAGGGUAAAAGGGCAGCUCUGAGGCUUUCAGUAUGUGCUGCAGGUGUUGGAGAGCCAGGACAAGGACCAUGUGUCCUGUGGCAGAUCCCAGCAGGAAGAGGCUCCCAGUAACCAAAGAGGAGCAGAUGGGACUUUGCAGCAGUCAAAGGCACAAAGGAGAAGGGACUGUAGCAGGGAUGGAGAGCUCUGGAUUAGGAAAUGCUUGGAGUAGAGGCAGGGAAAGGUGAGUUUAUGCUGUUUCUGCCACACUUUAUGGUUCCCCCCAGACUCUGAACCUAGAGACGCUUUAUUGUUACAGAAGCUUAUUUGACAGGAUGGGGGGGUGGUUAAUAAUUUUUCUAAAUAAAACUGACAGCUGUUCCCCUCUUGGGCUUCUAGAACCAUCCUCACAGAGCCCUGUGAAAUCAGAGGUACAGAAACCUGAGAGCCGUGAGUCCCAGGUGAGGGGUGUUGGUGUGUCCUGUGCCUCAAAGGCCAAGAAGGGCACAGCAAGCAUGACUCGUGUGUCAGCUGCUCUGUGAAAAGCUGGUGCUGACCAGGCAGGAGGCAGAAAUCUCUCCUCCAACUCCUUGGGGCGUAGACAGUUAAGUUUCUGCGUUUGUAAGGGAAACAUGGCAUUCCUUACAGCUGAGCCUCCUCCCUCGGGUUCCCACUGAAUGCCUGAGAGAUGACAGCAGAGGGUGUCUCCAGAAGGCUCCUAUUAAACAGGAGGAAUUAGCACGGAGGGAGCAACAGCGAGAUCCCAGUUUUGACCACAGAAUGAGCUAAAAAGCGUUGCAUCAGCAGCUGUUUGCAGUUUCUUACCCGCUGGCUGCGCACAGCUCCCGUUCAGGGGGCUCCUGUGCCCUCCUCUUGGUACCUCCGCCCUCCUGGAGUGUGAAGGGCUGUGCUGGGAGGGCAAAUCGGCUCCAAACCGAAAGUGCUGAGGCGGCGUGAGGCAGGGCAGAUUCACCUUGGGAGGGCAGCCGUGGUUCAGACACACUUACAACUAGUCGGGUGUCCCCAGCAGCACGAACCAGGCGGGCAGGGGAGCGGGUGAGCUGAGUAUGUGGACAGAUGGAACAGAUACAGACAGGAAAUGGGGAAGGAAGGGGGGAAAUUAAUGUUUGUAAAGCUUUAAGGGGGCUCUGGUUAGUUCUGAGAAAGAGGUUGAGCCCUGCAGUCCAGUUUCUGUUUUUAGCUCUGUGACCGUAUAACUUUGGGAGGCGAUUUGAGCAGUUCGAGCCAGGUGUGAGUGGGGAGAGGACAAAAACCCGUGGGCACCAGGCAGCUCAUGCGAUGUGGCAGCUGCCACCACACCCUUUCCUGUUCGCCCCGCGGGCAGCCCUGCCAGCCGCGCUGCCUGAGUGAGGAGAGAGGGGGAAAGGAGUGCUUUCCAAGAUGCUGAUAACCCCCAGCACCCGGCAUUCCUUGGAAAAGGAGAGGUAGUGAGCAGCUCUCGUGGUGUCUCUCCCCUGGGACAAGUCAAACGCUCCCAAAAGCCCCGGGAGCUGCUCCGGGGUGGUGCUGACUUUUGGCCGUGCCUCAGCCUGGCUCCUGUUACAGGCGAUGUUGACUUAGGGAAAAAGGCACCGGGCAUACUUGGCAUGGGCGUUCCGAGUUAAAAAUUGUCAGUCUGGGCAAACAGACCUUUGGGGUGAACUGCAGGAGAGCCAAGUGCCUGCACUGCGUUAUGGCAGCUCCUGUCAGAACACCAGGGGCUGACCUGGUGCUGCUCUGGGUGCCGAGCGCCCGGCUCGGCGGGUUUGGAGAAGUGCUGCAGGUUUUGGAGCUCCGUCCUUUAGACCAAACCCAUUUCCUUCCCCUCGGUGAGGUGCUCGUAGUGCCUCAGUGAGUCAAUAAGCUCUGCAUGUGAGGAAUGCACCUCCCAGCUGAAGGUGAGCCAUUGGUGUGGCUGUGCUGGAGGCAAGGAGACUAAUUAGUCCUUCCCUUAGACUUUGAGCUGCAGAAGUAAGAUAGGUGAGAUAUUUAGCCUGGAAUAUCCAUGUGAGGCAUUUUCAGAUGCUGGUUUUAACGGUGUGAGUCUCACACAGGAUCUGUGUCUUGGUCCUUAGUUCUGUAGCAGUGUCUAGUUAGGAGGAUAACCUGUACCUGGCAGAUUUGGGGCAUUCCUGAUGGAUUUGGGCACGUGUUCUAGGAGCUGCUGUUUACUGGCAGGGUGAAAGUGAGAUCACAGUGCUGUGGUGGGGCUUUGCUGUGAGUAUGGAGAAACAGGGAAGCAAUUUCUGUAUUAAAAUAUAAUAAAGUUUGGGUGAGUACAAAGUGUC